Long non-coding RNA from Hirundo rustica (Barn swallow), 740 nucleotides. RefSeq lists it as uncharacterized. The transcript is spliced from 3 exons. NCBI's taxonomy places the organism in Eukaryota, Metazoa, Chordata, Aves, Passeriformes, Hirundinidae. The record is from RefSeq and is a predicted model, not a curated record.
GGAAGGCAGGUCUGCUUGUCCUCUUGGCUCUUUUCCAUCAUCCAGCUAUGCCUCUUGAGCUUAAAGGUUCAUAUUCAUUUCUUCCAUAUUGGUAUCUGCAUGUCCAUGCACUGAGCGACCAUGGAUAUAAUGACCAAAACAGUUGUGUGACAAGACAAACACUGAAAUCUCAAAGAUGGGAAAAGAGAGAACACUAAUCAUCAAUUAUCAUUUUAUAUUUGAUCUUCUGAAUUCAUAGUGAAGAUCAAUCAAACUAGCCAGCCCUGCUACAAAUACAAAGUAGGUCCUACAUGGGUGUUUCACAGAAGAGGAAUGACCAUGGCUUGAAAGACGGAUAGAAGAGGUAAAUUGGUAUUUUUAAGAAGUUAUGGACAAAUGAGGUAAUCCAAUCUGUUCUGACUGGAACUCUCUUUGGUUAAAAGGCAAUUCCUGCAGUACAAAGCUUCAAAACCCAUAUGUCAAGAAGAGAAAGUUCAGAUGUGAGUAAGAGAAAAUGCAUUCCAAAGGUGGUAACUGUUAAGUUCAGCAGUUGAGGGACAAGCACAAGACAGGAGUAGACACUGGACAUAUAUGUAUUACAUAAAAUCAAGACAACUUGCCAGUCAGAAGGACUAAACCACAAACCAAUAAACAGUAUUGCAGUAAAAGGUCCUACACCUAAUUUCUGUUAUAACUUGUUAUUUUUGAAUUGUGUAUCAGCACAUGUAACCAAUUUAAAAUAAAAAAAAGAAAAACAACUA